This 254-nucleotide ribosomal RNA is filed under the name uncultured bacterium. RNAcentral's name for it is "partial 16S ribosomal RNA". It matches the Rfam family "Archaeal small subunit ribosomal RNA", at positions 474 to 727 of the family's 1478-position model. The record is from RNAcentral.
UACCAGCACCCCGAGUGGUCGGGACGUUUAUUGGGCCUAAAGCAUCCGUAGCCGGUUCUACGAGUCUUCCGUUAAAUCCAACUGCUUAACAGGUGGGCUGCGGAAGAUACUAUAGAGCUAGGAGGCGGGAGAGGCAAGCGGUACUCGAUGGGUAGGGGUAAAAUCCGUUGAUCCAUUGAAGACCACCAGUGGCGAAGGCGGCUUGCCAGAACGCGCUCGACGGUGAGGGAUGAAAGCUGGGGGGAGCAAACCGG